This 497-nucleotide ribosomal RNA is filed under the name uncultured bacterium. RNAcentral's name for it is "partial 16S ribosomal RNA". It matches the Rfam family "Bacterial small subunit ribosomal RNA", at positions 28 to 507 of the family's 1533-position model. The record is from RNAcentral.
GAUGAACGCUGGCGGCGUGCCUAAUACAUGCAAGUCGAGCGAACAGACUAGUAGCUUGCUCCUCUGACGUUAUCGGCGGACGUGUUAUUAACACGUUGAUAACCUACCUAUAAUACUUGUAUAACUUCGGGAAACCGUAUCUAAUACCGGAUAAUAUAUUUAACCUCAUGGUUCAAUAGUUAAAGACGGUUUUGCUGUCUCUUAUAGAUGUAUCCGCGCCGCAUUAGCUAGUUGGUAAGGUAACGGCUUAACAAGGCAACGAUGCGUAGCCGACCUGAGAGGGUGAUCGGCCACACUGGAACUGAGACACGGUCAAGACUCCUACGGGAGGCAGCAGUAGGGAAUCUUCCGCAAUGGGCGAAAGCCUGACGGAGAAAAGCCGCGUGAGUGAUGAAGGUCUUCGGAUCGUAAAACUCUGUUAUUAGGGAAGAACAAAUGUGUAAGUAACUAUGCACGUCUUGACGGUACCUAAUCAGAAAGCCACGGCUAACUACGUG